UACGUAGGUGGCAAGCGUUAUCCGGAAUUAUUGGGCGUAAAGAGCGCGCAGGUGGUUAAUUAAGUAUGAUGUGAAAGCCCACGGCUUAACCGUGGAGGGUCAUUGGAAACUGGUUGACUUGAGUGCAGAAGAGGGAAGUGGAAUUCCAUGUGUAGCGGUGAAAUGCGUAGGGAUAUGGAGGAACACCAGUGGCGAAGGCGGCUUCCUGGUCUGCAACUGACACUGAGGCGCGAAAGCGUGGGGAGCAAACAGG
Molecule: ribosomal RNA, 253 nt
Filed under: uncultured bacterium
Lineage: Bacteria
Description: partial 16S ribosomal RNA
Rfam family: Bacterial small subunit ribosomal RNA
Source: RNAcentral